RNAcentral lists this long non-coding RNA (3964 nucleotides) under Sus scrofa (pig). RNAcentral describes it as "lncRNA (ENSSSCG00030050511.1)". Lineage: Eukaryota; Metazoa; Chordata; Mammalia; Artiodactyla; Suidae. The record is from RNAcentral.
UUUCUAAUUCAUGAAGAGUUUCUUCAUGAUUUGUGAGAAAAUUGAGUUCCCCAAUCUACUACUUUUCUCUACACAGAUCCAAGCCACUGUAGUCACUACAGUGUGUCGCUGUGUGUCUGUGCCGUAUGUAAUGAGAGAGAGAGAAACUGAUUUAAGAGGAGUGCCGCUAGAAGAGAGGCUGACCCCCUGGACUGAGGAGGGGAGGUUGUUGGCAAAGAGCCAACUCUGGCCUCAUCCAUCCAGCAGAAUGACAGAGGUAGGUUACAGUCAGUGCACAGCACUAGAGCCAGCCCACCAAGUUCACGUCACAGCUCUAGCUGCGUUAUUCUGAGCAAGUUAUUUAACCUGUUGGUGUUUCAGAUUCUUUGUCUGAAAACAAAGAUCUAAGACAGUAGGAGUAUCUAGGUCAUAUGUUCUUUGCAAUGUGCUUUAAAAAGUGUGGCAGCAGCAUUAGCCAGCAACAUUGUUACCUGAGAUCUAAGCUCCCAUCCUGUCAGGAGUGCCAUCUCUCCUUGGUUUGCUUUUAGUUCUCAUUGUGAGGAUCAAGUGGAAGCUCCAACCACUCCAGAAGCUCCUUGUCUUGAGGUUGCUCUGGCAGCAAAGCAAUGAGGAGAUUCUGACUUGAUUGUGGGUAAGAUACAAGUUAAUCCUUCUUUUUUAUAGCCCAUCAGUUUCCCCAUAUCCUCAAUAGUGGAACCCCCAGGAGCACCAGAUUUGGAAUCGAAUGGAGUCUAGAAUCCUGGCCUUGGCCCUUACUGGGUGUAUAGCCUUGAGCAAGUUACUGAACUGUUCUGAGACUGUUUCUUCUUCUGUCACUAGAAGAUAACACUAACUAUCUUGAAAGUAGUAAGAAUAUUUGUCAGGAUCGGGUAUGUUUAGUGCAGUGCCUGGUAAGUAGGAAGUUCUCAAUAGAUGGUAACUGCUAAAGUAAUAAAGUGGUUAUCAUUAUUGGGUUCAGAAGCAGAAUUGGUAUCUCAUUUCCUUGUAGCCCCUGUUGUAUGACUAGCUUUUUAGUGAUCAAUAAACCAAGUGAAGUGAGUCAGACAGAGAAAGACAAAUACCACAUGAUAUCACUUAUAUCUGGAAUCUAAUCUAUGGCACAAAUGAACCUUUCCACAGGAAAGAAACUCAUGGACUUGGAGAACAGACUUGUGGUUGCCAAGGGGAGUGGAAUAGACUGGAAAUCUGGGGUUGAUAGAUGCAAACUAUUACAUUUGGAGUGGAUAAGCAAUGAGACCCUGCUGUAUAGCACUGGGAAGUAUAUCUAGUCACUUGUGAUGGAACAUGAUGGAGGAUAAUGUGAGAAAAAGAAUAUAUAUAUGUAUAUGUGUGUGUGUGUGUGUGUGUGUGUGUGCAUGAAUGAGUCACUUUACUGUAUAGUAGAAAUCGACGGAACACUAAAUCAACUAUAAUGGAAAAAAUAAAAAUCAUACAACUUAAAAAAGAAAUAAAUGCAUCAUGAAUAUGGAAUUGAUGGGACACUCGAAUGUUGUUAAUGUCAGGGGGGGAAAGACAAGAAAAAAAGGUGAGAGAAAAGAUGUUUUGAAACACAGAGAACAAGAGAGCAAAGAGUUAAAGGAUAAUGUAAAUAGAAGAGAUCAAAAAAUAACAUAGAAUAAGACAAAAACUUACCCAGAGAAUAAGAAAGUCAGGGAGGCAGAAGAGUAUUAGGAUCAUAGUUGACAGAUGAAUAAGAAGCAGUUGACUAUUUUUUAGCAGCACAAAGGAUGAUGCUAUAAAACAACAUAGGGAUGAGUUACAAAAAACAAUAAUCAGAAUUAUACUGAUUGCCUUUUCAGCGGAAGGAAGUGGGUGUAAUCAGGGAGGGCCACACAGAAGGCUCCUAAGAUUUAAAUAGUCUUUUUUCAAAUAUUUAACAAUAUAAACAAUCAAAGGGAAAAAUACUUAUUCCUCAAAGUGAAAAAGAACAAUAGAAGGAAGUAAAGAAAAAAAAGAGGUAGUCUGGGGAGUUCCCCAGCGUGGUGCAGCAGAAACAAAUCCAACUAGGAACCAUGAGGUUGCAGGUUCAAUCACUGGCCUCACUCAGUGGGUUAAGGAUCCAGCAUUAUGGUGAGCUGUGGUGUAGGUCGCAGAUGAGGCUCAGAUCCUGAGUUGCUGUGGCUGUGGUGUAGGCCAGCACCUGCAGCUCUGAAUCGACUCCUAGCCUGGGAACCUCCAUAUGCCAUGCACUCGGCCCAAGAGAUAGCCUAAACAAAGAAAGAAAUGAGAUGGGGCUUUUAAAACCAAAGAAAUGACUCCGUAAUGGGUAGAUACUGCCAGUCUCUCCAGGCACCUCCCUAUCAACUUGCAUAGCUCCCACCUUCCAACUGCCAGAGGGACUCAACCACUGAGCUGGCCUCCUGUGCCCUAGCUCUUCUCUCUUUCAAGAUAGUACAGUCACCUCCUCCAGGAAGCUUUCCCUGAUUCACCUAUCCAUGCUGCUCCUUUUCUCUACAGUUAACUGUCUCGCAUUCACCCACUUUUUUUGCCUUAUUUGUCUUCAGUUCGCAGGGUCUUCUGAUACUGUGCAUUGUCCUCUCCCAAGUUUUUCAAAAGCAUGAGGCCAUUUUCCCUUCCAGCACAGACCGACCAUAUUUUCUGAUAUUUUGAAGCAGAUCCCUUAGGUCGUGGCUUAGAAGUUGCUAAAGAUACCAGAGCAGAUAUGAAUUCUAAUAAGUAAAGUAUAUGAAUCUCAGCUGAAUCCCAUAUGAAAAAUUUAUAUAUAUUCUUACUAAGGACAUUAUUGGAACAAUUGACAAAAUUAAAAUAUGGACUGAACAUUACCUAAUAGUUUGUAUCAAUAAGUUUCCUGAAUUGAUUACUGUAAUGAUGUUGAUGUAAGAGACCAUCUUGUCUUAAGAGACACAAACUGAAAUACUAAGGAGUAAAGGGUCAUGCUGCGUAAGCAGAUAUCCUAAUGUAUCAAAUAAAAAUUAUUACAUGUAAAUACACUGAAAGUGAGUGAUCAUGCAAACGAGUAAAAAAUAUUAAAAAUUCAUGAUUCUUGAUAAAGCUUACAUAGGAGACUUUGGAAACACUCUUACAACUUUCCUAUACGUUUAAACGUCCUUUAAAAUAAAAAGUUUUAAGGGAAAUGAAUCAAGAUUUGAAUGAAAUUAAUCAAGCAUUGUACAAAACCCGAACUCUGUUUAAAUGCCCCAAGCUCAACAUGGUCUACUUUUACUACUAAUUUCAACUUACAUGAAAAGAUGGGGCUGAAAUAAAUCUACUUAAGCUUUUCAUUUCCAAACCUCAAUUCUUAUGGAAUUUUUGCUGUAAGAGAACAGGUAAUAAUUUUUUGACUGACAUUAUUUUUUUCUUAUUUUCCACAUUACAUCUAAUAGAAAGUUGAAAUUAGAAACUGUCAUUUGCAGGGGUUUUUUUCUAGUUUAAUAAAUCAUAAUGAUUCUUUAAAUAUUAAGGUCAUGCAUUGAUCUCUCUGGGGACUGGGUAAUAGCGAGGAAAUCUCCAGAGUCCACAUUUCUGUUGCUGGUGGUGGAAUCUCUGCCAAUGUAUAAAGUAGAUAGAACAUGAGUAAUUCUAGGAAGCUCAUGCCCAUAGCUAGAAAGUAAGAUGAAACGUCUGCAGAAAGUUUUGUGAUCAGAAAAUUAACUCGACACACACAUUUCUCCGUAAUUCCUUCCACACAUAAUAAAGGGAAAAAUCAACAGCACAGUGCUCAGAAUAUAACAGGUACUCAGUAAAUGUUAAUUAAUAAAACUAACUAGGAGUUCCCAUCGUGGUGCAGUGGUUAACGAAUCCGACUAGGAACCAUGAGGUUUUGGGUUCGAUCCCUGCCCUUGCUCAGUGGGGUAAUGAUCCGGCGUUGCCGUGAGCUGUGGUGUAGGUCGCAGAUGCAGCUCGGAUCCUGUGUUGCUGUGGCUCUGGCAUAGGCUGGCAGCUGCAGCUCCCAUUAGACCCCUAGCCUGGGAAACUCCAUAUGCCAUGGGAGCAGCCCAAGAAA